This 429-nucleotide ribosomal RNA is filed under the name Gemmatimonadota bacterium. RNAcentral's name for it is "Gemmatimonadetes bacterium partial 16S ribosomal RNA". It matches the Rfam family "Bacterial small subunit ribosomal RNA", at positions 355 to 776 of the family's 1533-position model. Lineage: Bacteria; Pseudomonadati; Gemmatimonadota. The record is from RNAcentral.
UAGGGAAUCUUCGGCAAUGGACGAAAGUCUGACCGAGCAACGCCGCGUGAGUGAAGAAGGUUUUCGGAUCGUAAAACUCUGUUGUUAGAGAAGAACAAGGACGUUAGUAACUGAACGUCCCCUGACGGUAUCUAACCAGAAAGCCACGGCUAACUACGUGCCAGCAGCCGCGGUAAUACGUAGGUGGCAAGCGUUGUCCGGAUUUAUUGGGCGUAAAGCGAGCGCAGGUGGUUUCUUAAGUCUGAUGUGAAAGCCCCCGGCUCAACCGGGGAGGCUUAUUCGAAACUGGGAGACUUGAGUGCAGAAGCGGAGAGUGGAAAUCCAUGUGUAGCGGUGAAAUGCGUAGAUAUAUGGCGGAACACCAGUGGCGAAGGCGGCUAUCUGGUCUAUAACUGACGCUGAGGCUAGAAAGCGUGGGGAGCAAACAGG